UCAAUAAGCGGAGGAAGCUUACGCUGUAGCUACCCUGUAGCUACCCGGUAGGUGCGCUCCAAGCCCGCCGGUGGACCACUAAAUUCUAUUUUACUACUGUAUCUCUGAAUGCUUCAACUUAAUAAGUUAAAACUUUCAACAACGGAUCUCUUGGUUCUGGCAUCGAUGAAGAACGCAGCGAAAUGCGAUAAGUAAUGUGAAUUGCAGAAUUCAGUGAAUCAUCGAAUCUUUGAACGCACAUUGCGCCCAUUAGUAUUCUAGUGGGCAUGCCUAUUCGAGCGUCAUUUCAACCCUUAAGCCUAGUUGCUUAGUGUUGGGAAUCUGCCCUGUAUUUAUAGGGCAGUUCCUUAAAGUGAUCGGCGGAGUUAGGGCAUACUCUAAGCGUAGUAAUAUUCUUCUCGCUUCUGUAGUUGUCCUGGCGGCUUGCCGUUAAACCCCUAUAUUUCUAGUGGUUGACCUCGGAUUAGGUAGGAAUACCCGCUGAACUUAAGCAUAUCAU
RNAcentral lists this ribosomal RNA (499 nucleotides) under fungal sp. RNAcentral's name for it is "eukaryotic LSU rRNA". The stretch from base 131 to 284 matches the Rfam family "5.8S ribosomal RNA". Lineage: Eukaryota; Fungi. The record is from RNAcentral.